RNAcentral lists this ribosomal RNA (232 nucleotides) under uncultured bacterium. RNAcentral describes it as "partial 16S ribosomal RNA". It matches the Rfam family "Bacterial small subunit ribosomal RNA", at positions 103 to 334 of the family's 1533-position model. The record is from RNAcentral.
CGGGUGAGUAACGCGUGAGGAACCUGCCUCAAAGAGGGGGACAACAGUUGGAAACGACUGCUAAUACCGCAUAAGCCCACGGCUGGCAUCGAGCAGAGGGAAAAGGAGCAAUCCGCUUUGAGAUGGCCUCGCGUCCGAUUAGCUAGUUGGUGAGGUAACGGCCCACCAAGGCGACGAUCGGUAGCCGGACUGAGAGGUUGAACGGCCACAUUGGGACUGAGACACGGCCCAG